Molecule: ribosomal RNA, 330 nt
Filed under: Pseudomonas aeruginosa
Lineage: Bacteria; Pseudomonadati; Pseudomonadota; Gammaproteobacteria; Pseudomonadales; Pseudomonadaceae
Description: bacterial SSU rRNA
Rfam family: Bacterial small subunit ribosomal RNA
Source: RNAcentral
UCGGGUGACGAGCGGCGGACGGGUGAGUAAUGUCUGGGAAACUGCCUGAGGGAGGGGGAUAACUACUGGAAACGGUAGCUAAUACCGCAUAAUGUCGCAAGACCAAAGUGGGGGACCUUCGGGCCUCAUGCCAUCAGAUGUGCCCAGAUGGGAUUAGCUAGUAGGUGGGGUAACGGCUCACCUAGGCGACGAUCCCUAGCUGGUCUGAGAGGAUGACCAGCCACACUGGAACUGAGACACGGUCCAGACUCCUACGGGAGGCAGCAGUGGGGAAUAUUGCACAAUGGGCGCAAGCCUGAUGCAGCCAUGCCGCGUGUGUGAAGAAGGCCU